This 492-nucleotide ribosomal RNA is filed under the name uncultured bacterium. RNAcentral's name for it is "partial 16S ribosomal RNA". It matches the Rfam family "Bacterial small subunit ribosomal RNA", at positions 29 to 507 of the family's 1533-position model. The record is from RNAcentral.
AGUGAACGCUGGCGGUAGGCCUAACACAUGCAAGUCGAACGGCAGCACAGUAAGAGCUUGCUCUUACGGGUGGCGAGUGGCGGACGGGUGAGGAAUACAUCGGAAUCUACUUUUUCGUGGGGGAUAACGUAGGGAAACUUACGCUAAUACCGCAUACGACCUACGGGUGAAAGCAGGGGAUCUUCGGACCUUGCGCGAUUGAAUGAGCCGAUGUCGGAUUAGCCAGUUGGCGGGGUAAAGGCCCACCAAGGCGACGAUCCGUAGCUGGUCUGAGAGGAUGAUCAGCCACACUGGAACUGAGACACGGUCCAGACUCCUACGGGAGGCAGCAGUGGGGAAUAUUGGACAAUGGGCGCAAGCCUGAUCCAGCCAUACCGCGUGGGUGAAGAAGGCCUUCGGGUUGUAAAGCCCUUUUGUUGGGAAAGAAAAGCAGCAGGUUAAUACCCAGCUGUUCUGACGGUACCCAAAGAAUAAGCACCGGCUAACUUCGUG